AGCAGCUGGUGGAAGCUCUCUGAAGAACUGAGACAGGAGGUGGCACUGCUCUGACACCAUCCUUUGAAGGUGACAGAGCAUCUCAGGGCUUGGGGGACGCCAGCCGGACUUUGAGAGGAGACAGAAGAGGUGCUUGCAGAGGCCACGAGGUCAUCACUCUCUCCCAACAGCCAUCCCAGCAGGAUGGGCAGUCCAGGGGCCAACUGGUCCCACUGCUGGAGCAGAUCACACAGGACGGCCAGGGCCAGGGCCAGAGCGAUGGAGGCAUCCACCUGGCAGAAGGCAAACUCUGCAAAGACAGGAGAAAGUGUCACCAGAAGGAUCAGGAAGGCUUCCCUGUCCAGUGUCUCCUCUGCACAUCUGCCUGGAUUUGACUGGUUUGCCCUUUCCUUGGAAAGCAGAUCUCUUGGGCACAAGACACAUCCUAGAGCAGGGCAUCGGCAAGCUUUUCCUUAAAGGGCCAGAGAGUCAAUAUUUUAGACUUUGCAAGCCUAUACCUCCUCACCUCGGCUGAAAGCAGCCAUGGACAAUCUGUAAACAAAUGGUUGUGGCUGUGUUCCAAUAAAACUUUAUUUAUGGACACUGAAAUUUGAAUUUAAUGUGUCACAAAAUAUUAUUUUUUCCCAACCAAUUAAAAAUGUAAAAACCAUUGAUAGCUCAUGGGCUGUAAAAAGCAGGUGGUAGGCUGCAUUUGGCUCCUAUUUUGCUGCCCUCUGUCUCGGAGUUUUUUGUUUUUGGACCCUUGUUUUCCUGGGUGCUUGGAGGAAGGGCACUGAAAGAAUAGAAGGGUGCAGAAAGAGGAAGCAGGGGGCCUUGGGGAAACCAUUGCUUAUUUCAACAUUUGGCCUUAGACAAUCCUAAAUAUGGGUUUGGAGGGAGGCUCAGGGGUGUUGUCACUUCCCCUAACAACUCUGCCCCUCCCAUCCCAAACCUGGAGGGUGUCUGAAACACGGGACUGAAAGCCCACUGCACAAUGGACCUCUGUAGGCCCAUCUUGCACCAACUGACAUUGAAAGGCCUGUCUUUCAAUGAUGCAUUUCUAUUGAGCCCUGAUCACUCCCAAAUCCACAUCUCUAACUUGAGCACACAGACUUACCCUGACCAUCUGGCCCCCGAAAGACUUACUCGGCACACAGGCAGACGACCGAGAAUCUGCAACAGCAGGCUUAGUUCCCGUGGGUGUUGAACCAGGCUUACUGGGAUGGCCCCACUGAGGGCCUAGUGAGUGCCAGGCCCUGAUCAAAUGCUGUCUCCCCAGUCCUUCUAGCAUCCUAUGGGUUGGGUAUUAUGUAACCCACUUGCACACAUCAAGAAAUUACAGUUGGCAACAAGUUUCAUGGUGCAUGCAAAGCGCAGAUUUGGAGACCCAGCAUCAACAAUCCAGAGGUUUUGAUGGUGGGGUCAGCAGGGGUAGUGACCCUGCAGUAGGGCCAGGACUAUUCAGAGGUCACACAGCAGCACCUAGUUGCAUGUAAGCAGGUGAAAGUACUGAUCUCACCAUCUUGAGAGCUCCAGAUAAGUCCCCCAGGACACUUGCCCUUUAGUGUCCCCGUUCCCCAUGCUGCUUGCUCUGCAGCCUAGAACCCAGAUUUAAACCAGGAAACAGAAAAGGGGAGGGGGUGAAGGUGCAUUUUGGCUGUGGGUCUGAGCCAUGUGUUGACUGGGCCUCUACCUACAAUACAAUCUCCAUUUUUACCUCUACCUAACUCCUUUCUGCAGUUCUCAAUUGGCUGAGAAUCUGUAUAGAGAAGGGAUAAUUAAGUGGCCUUUUUCUUUCUUUUUUCCCUUCAACUUUUAUUGAUUGAUUGAGACAGAGUCUGUUGCCCAGGCUGGAGUACAGUGGCGUGAUCUUGGCUCACUGCAACCUCCGCCUCCUGGGUUCAAGCAAUUCUCCUGCCUUAGCCCCCAAGUAGCUGGGACUAUAGGCAUGUGCCACCACACCCAGAUAAUUUUGUUUUU
This 1959-nucleotide long non-coding RNA is filed under the name Homo sapiens (human). RNAcentral describes it as "HSALNT0030855". The record is from RNAcentral. Lineage: Eukaryota; Metazoa; Chordata; Mammalia; Primates; Hominidae.